AUUAAGAAAAUCCAAUGACGACAAUAUACUUAAGGAGCAAUAUUACAGCAAAGAAAUUAAAUCAAUACAGGUAAAUAAAUGAUCCAAAGAUUAAUUCAUUCAAUAGAAAAAACAUGACUGACUCCAUAAACGGCAUAAAUCUGAACAAAAGAGUUAGAAUAAUUGGAAAUCUGAACAAUUUGUGUACCCAUCACUGUAUUGGACAUUAAAAAUUUCCCGAGAAGAUUUUUGCACCAAGCAUUCAUAGCCAUUCCUUUCCUUGCAUGUUCUCCUUCUUUCUUUUUCUUUCUCUGGUGUAAUUCCCACACGUCUUCUUUAUGCCAAAUACCCCUCUUUUCAAAGGAGGCAGCCCCACUUUUCAAC
This 363-nucleotide long non-coding RNA is filed under the name Populus tremula. Its description in RNAcentral is "long non-coding RNA (PTRE_LNC003492)". Lineage: Eukaryota; Viridiplantae; Streptophyta; Magnoliopsida; Malpighiales; Salicaceae. The record is from RNAcentral.